UGUAAAAUUUUAAAGGUCGAACAGACCUAAUAUUUUAGCUUCUACACCAAAAAUUAAUUUUAAUCCAACAUCGAGGUCGCAAUCUUUUUUUUCGAUUUGAACUCUAUAAAAAAAUUACGCUGUUAUCCCUAAGGUAAUUUAAUCUUAUAAUCAUAAAUAAUGGAUCAAAUAAUCAUAAAUUAAUGUGUAUAUAUAAAAAAAGUUUAUCAAAUUUUUUAAUCAUCCCAAUUAAAUAAAAAUUAUAAUUAAAUUUAAUGUAAACUAAAAUAUCAAAUUAUAAUUAUUUUAUAAAACUCUAUAGGGUCUUCUCGUCUUUUAACAGUAUUUAAGCUUUUUAACUUAAAAAUAAAAUUCUAAUAAAAUUAAUAAGAGACAGUUAUUUUUUCAUUCAACCUUUCAUACCAGCUUUCAAUUAAAAAACUAAUUAUUAUGCUACCUUAGCACGAUCAAAAUAUCGCGGCCAUUUAAAAUUUCAGUGGGCAGGUUAGACCUAAUAUUAUAGCCAAUAGGAC
RNAcentral lists this ribosomal RNA (512 nucleotides) under Timarcha metallica. Its description in RNAcentral is "partial 16S ribosomal RNA". Lineage: Eukaryota; Metazoa; Arthropoda; Insecta; Coleoptera; Chrysomelidae. The record is from RNAcentral.